Molecule: RNase P RNA, 365 nt
Filed under: Candidatus Moraniibacteriota bacterium
Lineage: Bacteria; Candidatus Moraniibacteriota
Description: Candidatus Moranbacteria bacterium RNase P RNA component class A
Rfam family: Bacterial RNase P class A
About the family: Ribonuclease P (RNase P) is a ubiquitous endoribonuclease, found in archaea, bacteria and eukarya as well as chloroplasts and mitochondria. Its best characterised activity is the generation of mature 5'-ends of tRNAs by cleaving the 5'-leader elements of precursor-tRNAs. Cellular RNase Ps are ribonucleoproteins.
Source: RNAcentral
AGAACAGGUAUGACGAUCGCUUUUUCUUUUUAUUUUAUAAAGAGAGAAAGAGGAAAGUCCGGACAUUCCCUUUAUUUUUUUAAAGGAACUGGGUAGCGGGUAACUCCCGCACGCUGUGAAGCGCGAGGUGCGAACAGAGACGUUUUCUUUUGCGAAAAAGAAAACAUCCUAUUUUCGAAUAGGAUGAGUUCUAUAGGAAACUAUAGAAGUGAAACGGUUAAAUCCUUACCCGAAUGCAAGACCGUGUCUCUCUUUAUUGAGAGAAGAGUCGCUUUCUCCUUAAUCGGAGAAGAGCGUAUCGGUAACGAUACGUCUAGAGAAAUGGUCGUCCUCGACAGAAUCCGGCUUAUAUACCUGUUUUGAUC